GAUGAAGAACGUAGCGAAAUGCGAUAAGUAAUGUGAAUUGCAGAAUUCAGUGAAUCAUCGAAUCUUUGAACGCACCUUGCACCCUUUGGCAUUCUGAAGGGUAUGCUCGUUUGAGUGUCAUUGUGCUCUCACACUCCCGAUCUUUGCAUUGGGAGCAGUGGACUUGGGUUUGCUGCUUCACCGUCGCUUACCUCAAAUAGGUUAGUGCAACUCUUGGUUGGACAUAGUACGGCGUGAUAAGUGUUCUUCGCCGGUGCCUCGCAAAGAGGGUGGCCGAUCGGGAUGUUGUGCUCCAAACCGUCUUCGGACAAUCUCUGACGACUUGACCUCAAAUCGAGUAAGACUACCCGCUGAACUUAAGCAUAUCAAUAAGCGGAGGA
RNAcentral lists this unclassified non-coding RNA (380 nucleotides) under soil metagenome. Its description in RNAcentral is "partial contains 5.8S ribosomal RNA, internal transcribed spacer 2, and large subunit ribosomal RNA". The stretch from base 1 to 120 matches the Rfam family "5.8S ribosomal RNA", at positions 35 to 154 of the family's 154-position model. The record is from RNAcentral.